UACAGAGGGUGCAAGCGUUGUUCGGAAUUAUUGGGCGUAAAGCGUACGUAGGCGGCUCGUUAAGUUUGGUGUGAAAUCCCUGGGCUCAACCUAGGACGUGCACCGAAAACUGGCGAGCUUGAAUCUCGGAGAGGGUGGUGGAAUUCCCAGUGUAGAGGUGAAAUUCGUAGAUAUUGGGAGGAACACCGGUGGCGAAGGCGACCACCUGGACGAAGAUUGACGCUGAGGUACGAAAGCGUGGGGAUCAAACAGG
Molecule: ribosomal RNA, 253 nt
Filed under: uncultured bacterium
Lineage: Bacteria
Description: partial 16S ribosomal RNA
Rfam family: Bacterial small subunit ribosomal RNA
Source: RNAcentral